RNAcentral lists this long non-coding RNA (758 nucleotides) under Callithrix jacchus (white-tufted-ear marmoset). RNAcentral describes it as "lncRNA (ENSCJAG00000072280.1)". Lineage: Eukaryota; Metazoa; Chordata; Mammalia; Primates; Cebidae. The record is from RNAcentral.
GAAAAAGCUUCUUGAUGUUGGUCUUGACAAUGAUGUUUUGGAUAUGACCCAAAGAGCACAGGUAACAAAAGCAAAAAUAAACAAGUGGUACUAUUUCAAACUAAAAGUCUUCUCCAAAGCAAAUAAAACGUCAAUAAAAUGAAAAAGGAGUCUAUUUACAAAUAUACAUUUUUCUUUUUUUGUGUUAUUAUACUUUAAGUUCUGGGAUACAUGUGCCGAACAUGCAGGCUUGUUAUAUAGGGUGAAGCAAAAUAUAAGCUGCAAAAAGUGGAAAACUGAAGGACCUGACAUCCCCUCCAUCAUUCUCCAGGCCUGAAAAUAUGCAGCUUGUGAACAUGUAUUACAGGAUCCUGCAUUAAAUCCAGCAACUUCUUUUCCUGCUCAUAGCUCAUCUCAAUAUAAUCGAAGUGAUUUUCUUUUGAUGAUUACAAAAGCUAUGGCUGAGAGGCUGGGAAGCUUUGCAGAGAUGCUAGUUGACACAUGGACCUGGAGAGGCAAAAACUGCCAUUCAGAGAUCUGCAGGUAUAGAGUCUCUCAGCUGGAAAAUCUUAAAAGCUACACCUUAAGAUAAGGGUUAACUGGAAGAAGACCAGUCCUCCCCCAAAAUCUCAAAGCCCAAUGGCAUGCCCUUUCAAUCCAUUAUGAAGAAAUUUUCAUCAAAAAAAUUUUUUACUCUGAAUAAAGAUAACAUCCUGGGCCUUUAUAAUAUUUCAUAUUUUUUAUUAUAAUGUCUUGUACUUUAUAAAAAAUGGUUAGAC